AACAUUGAAGCGGCGUCGCUAGGCGUUGUGGAGUUAACCUUGAAAUACCACCCUUUGCUUAUCUAGAGUCUAACUCAGAGAUGAGGACAGUGCUUGGUGGGUAGUUUGACUGGGGUGGUCGCCUCCAAAAGAGUAACGGAGGCUUCUAAAGGUACCCUCAGCACGCUUGGUAACCGUGCGUAGAGUGCAAUGGCAUAAGGGUGCUUGACUGAGAGACCUACAAGUCGAGCAGG
RNAcentral lists this ribosomal RNA (233 nucleotides) under Minutocellus polymorphus. RNAcentral's name for it is "partial Bacterial large subunit ribosomal RNA". It matches the Rfam family "Bacterial large subunit ribosomal RNA", at positions 2153 to 2397 of the family's 2925-position model. Lineage: Eukaryota; Bacillariophyta; Thalassiosirophyceae; Cymatosirales; Cymatosiraceae. The record is from RNAcentral.